Molecule: long non-coding RNA, 226 nt
Organism: Cucurbita moschata (crookneck pumpkin)
Lineage: Eukaryota; Viridiplantae; Streptophyta; Magnoliopsida; Cucurbitales; Cucurbitaceae
Exons: 2
Source: RefSeq, a predicted model, not a curated record
GUUGCCUGGCUUCCUUUCUCGACGACAUAUUUUUUGAAAUGUGAGGCUGAUCCAUCACCAGAAAACUAGCAGAUACUUUUAAUUGGAAGCCAAGUCUCAAGAUUUCCCCUGGCUUCUGCUUGCUGAGUGUUGUCGCAGCAGUUUUUUACCAUGAUGAUCAUCCUGCAAGAGCAAGAGCAUCUCAAUCCGUUGAUCUUUCAGUUCCUCAAAACAAUAACAAUAAAAC